AGUGCUCAGAGGGUCUGUGGUCAUGGUGAGAAGAACCCUGCAGCUCCUGGAAGGGCGAGAGGACCCGGAGAGGCUUCCUCUCCCAGACUCAGCUGUGCUUUGGGGAGGGGGAGUGACCCAAGGCCAGCCCAGCCGUAGUCCUGGGAGGCAGCAUCGCCCGGUUAGGGCUUCCUGCGUGUCGCCGGGGGCCUUGCUCUGGUUUCUGGCUGACCUUGUUGGGCACUGGAGGAUCCUAGUGGGGGCUCUGCUCGCUGGAGCGAGAGGACCCUCUGGGGCGUGGGACCGGCAGUGGCCUGGACGUGAGCAGAGGAGGAAAGUCCUGCUUCAGGCAGCCCUUCAGGGAGGGACAGGGAUCGCCCGAGAGUGACCCACUGGCAGCAGGGACGGCCCUCCUGCUCUGUUUGUGUCCACAGCACGUGGAGACGUUCUCUUCCAGAUGGCUGAAGUCCACAGGCAGAUCCAGAAUCAGCUGGAAGAAAUGCUGAAGUCUUUUCACAACGAGCUGCUCACGCAGCUGGAGCAGAAGGUGGAGCUGGACUCCAGGUAUCUGAGUGCUGCGCUGAAGAAAUACCAGA
This 575-nucleotide small RNA is filed under the name Pongo abelii (Sumatran orangutan). Its description in RNAcentral is "processed transcript". Lineage: Eukaryota; Metazoa; Chordata; Mammalia; Primates; Hominidae. The record is from RNAcentral.